This is a small nucleolar RNA of Callithrix jacchus (white-tufted-ear marmoset), 79 nucleotides long. Its record names the gene U3. It matches the Rfam family "Small nucleolar RNA U3". Rfam says of the family: Small nucleolar RNAs (snoRNAs) are involved in the processing and modification of rRNA in the nucleolus. There are two main classes of snoRNAs: the box C/D class, and the box H/ACA class. The record is from Ensembl. Lineage: Eukaryota; Metazoa; Chordata; Mammalia; Primates; Cebidae.
UAGACAGUACUUUCAGGGAUCACUUCUAUAGUUUAUUACUAGGUAAGUUUCUCUAAAUGUAGAGCACAGAAAGUAAAAU